CGGAGGCAGCAGUGAGGAAUAUUGCACAAUGGGGGAAACCCUGAUGCAGCAACGCCGCGUGAGUGACGAAGGCCUUCGGGUUGUAAAACUCUGUCUUAGCUGACGAUAAUGACGGUAAGCUAGGAGGAAGCCACGGCUAACUACGUGCCAGCAGCCGCGGUAAUACGUAGGUGGCGAGCGUUGUCCGGAAUUACUGGGCGUAAAGGGAGCGUAGGCGGUCAAUUAAGUGGGAUGUGAAAACCCCGGGCUCAACCUGGGACCUGCAUUCCAAACUGGUUGACUAGAGUGCAGGAGAGGAAAGUGGAAUUCCAAGUGUAGCGGUGAAAUGCGUAGAGAUUUGGAGGAACACCAGUGGCGAAGGCGACUUUCUGGACUGUAACUGACGCUGAGGCUCGAGAGCGUGGGGAGCAAACAGGCUUAGAUACCCCGGUAGG
RNAcentral lists this ribosomal RNA (434 nucleotides) under uncultured bacterium. RNAcentral describes it as "bacterial SSU rRNA". It matches the Rfam family "Bacterial small subunit ribosomal RNA", at positions 343 to 794 of the family's 1533-position model. The record is from RNAcentral.